AGCACAGAUCUGUUUACAAACCCAAGGCAGAGCAGCAAGAGAAGAGUGAGGGGAGGAAGGGGGGAAAGGCCAACUGCAGGCACCAUUAUGGACCCAAAAAGGAGGUAGAAGGGGGGAAGCCUGCCAUGACAAAGCCAGCUGGAGGUGUGAGAGGCUGACAGACACACUCCGCCUUUGUCUCAUAUUUUUUUUUCCUCCCUGUCUUUCUUAAUCGAAGGAGCAGAUGGUUGGAGGGAGAGUAGGUUCCCCCACCCUACACACAAAACACACGCACAUAUCUUCUGAUGAACACACAGCAGUUAUAGAGGACUGUUGUUGACUGCAUGGAGCUAUCCUCAUGUUGUUUGUUCUUGGAGGGGAGAACAUCAUCACCUUCAUUUAGAAGGAACAUCUACAGCAAGAUCAGAGGACCAGAGGAGGAGGAAACCAGAGAAGUGGUGAGACUUGAGAAAAUCAGAUUUCGAUUGAUGUUGGAUUAUUGCUUUCACUGGGUUGAGGAUUUGCCAUUAAACGCUGGAUGUCACUGUAACUGGCGAGAGGCAGGGGACAAGACUGCAAAGUGACGCAAAGUGAAGUCAAGGAGGCUGUUUCCCUUCUCUCUCUAAGCAUAUGAGGUCCUCAGAUCCAAAUCCUCCCCCCCUCAACUCAACACGGAGUGGUUAAUCCAGAUUUGGGGAAUGCUGUGCAGCCCAGACUGCUGAGCCAACAAUAAAAAAAAAAAAAGAAAACACACCUCUGAAGGAUUUCUGGAA
Cyprinodon tularosa is the source of this 752-nucleotide long non-coding RNA. RefSeq lists it as uncharacterized. The transcript has 2 exons. The record is from RefSeq and is a predicted model, not a curated record. NCBI's taxonomy places the organism in Eukaryota, Metazoa, Chordata, Actinopteri, Cyprinodontiformes, Cyprinodontidae.